This 450-nucleotide ribosomal RNA is filed under the name uncultured bacterium. Its description in RNAcentral is "partial 16S ribosomal RNA". It matches the Rfam family "Bacterial small subunit ribosomal RNA", at positions 354 to 796 of the family's 1533-position model. The record is from RNAcentral.
GUGGGGAAUAUUGGACAAUGGGCGAAAGCCUGAUCCAGCCAUGCCGCGUGUGUGAAGAAGGUCUUCGGAUUGUAAAGCACUUUAAGUUGGGAGGAAGGGCAGUAAGUUAAUACCUUGCUGUUUUGACGUUACCAACAGAAUAAGCACCGGCUAACUUCGUGCCAGCAGCCGCGGUCAUACGAAGGGUGCAAGCGUUAAUCGGAAUUACUGGGCGUAAAGCGCGCGUAGGUGGUUCAGCAAGUUGAAGGUGAAAUCCCCGGGCUCAACCUGGGAACUGCCUCCAAAACUACUGAGCUAGAGUACGGUAGAGGGUAGUGGAAUUUCCUGUGUAGCGGUGAAAUGCGUAGAUAUAGGAAGGAACACCAGUGGCGAAGGCGACUACCUGGACUGAUACUGACACUGAGGUGCGAAAGCGUGGGGAGCAAACAGGAUUAGAUACCCGAGUAGUCC